CGUGGAUUGGAUGCUGCCGUGUAACCAAUGGCUCGUCUGAAAUGCCUGAGUGUAUCCUGCUUUGCGGCGUAUUCGGUGUGAUACAUCUUCACCGGAGUUUGAUCCUUUUCGGGUUGCGUCUGCUUAACUAUGGCUCUAUGCUUCAAACCGUCUUGACAAGACAAUACUCUGACAAUUUGACCUCAAAUCGGGUGGGACUACCCGCUGAACUUAAGCAUAUCAAUAAGCGGAGGAAAAGAAACUAACAAGGAUUCCCCUAGUAACGGCGAGUGAAGAGGGAAAAGCUCAAAUUUUGAAUCUGGUGUCUAUGACUCCCGAGUUGUAAUCUAGAGAAGUGUUUUCCGUGUCGGACCGUGUACAAGUUCCCUGGAACGGGGCGUCAUAGAGGGUGAGAAUCCCGUAUAUGCCACGGACUACCGAUGCUCUGUGAUACACUCUCAACGAGUCGAGUUGUUUGGGAAUGCAGCUCAAAAUGGGUGGUAAAUUCCAUCUAAAGCUAAAUAUUGGCGAGAGACCGAUAGCGAACAAGUACCGUGAGGGAAAGAUGAAAAGCACUUUGGAAAGAGAGUGAAACAGUACGUGAAAUUGUUGAAAGGGAAGCGUUUGAAGUCAGUCAUGUUUGUCGGAAUUCAGCCCGGCUUCUGCCUGGUGUACUUUCCGUCCAACGGGUCAGCAUCAGUUUCGACCGAGGGAAAAAGACAUGAGGAAUGUGGCUGUCUCCGGGCAGUGUUAUAGCCUCGUGUUGUAUGUCUCGGUUGGGACUGAGGAACGCAGCGCGCCUAUUGGCCGGGGGUUCGCGCCCCUCGGUACGCGCUUAGGAU
RNAcentral lists this ribosomal RNA (821 nucleotides) under uncultured Sebacinales. RNAcentral describes it as "eukaryotic LSU rRNA". The stretch from base 178 to 821 matches the Rfam family "Eukaryotic large subunit ribosomal RNA", at positions 1 to 624 of the family's 3401-position model. Lineage: Eukaryota; Fungi; Basidiomycota; Agaricomycetes; Sebacinales. The record is from RNAcentral.